Molecule: long non-coding RNA, 396 nt
Filed under: Numida meleagris (helmeted guineafowl)
Lineage: Eukaryota; Metazoa; Chordata; Aves; Galliformes; Numididae
Description: lncRNA (ENSNMEG00000020667.1)
Source: RNAcentral
CCAGCAUCUUGCUGUGGGUCCACUCACUCUGCCCCUACGGCCGCCGUGAUAGCACCAUGUGCUGUGGCAGGCGGCCAUUUUGGCACCCCGCGUGUUGCUUGCAGCAGGUGGAGGCUGCCUGGAGCUGGCUGCACCUAGCUGCUGCUUCACCAUCUCCACACCCAAAGGUACCACUGCAGCUCCCGGCCACUGAACCCCCACUGUUUGCAUCAAGUACAGGACCAGCAGCAGUGCUACCUCAUCAGACUGCAGCAGACAGCAAACAAGGAAGCGGGCACAUUUGCCAUUUGUAUGAAUAGCUUUGCAAGGCAACCCAACUCCUUUCAAAAAGAGAGGUUUGUGAAGUUUUGAAGCGGUUUCAUAAGACUGAUUCUGCAGAAAAAUAAGAUGAGGAAG